RNAcentral lists this ribosomal RNA (492 nucleotides) under uncultured bacterium. RNAcentral describes it as "bacterial SSU rRNA". It matches the Rfam family "Bacterial small subunit ribosomal RNA", at positions 1017 to 1509 of the family's 1533-position model. The record is from RNAcentral.
CCUUCGGGAACUCUGAGACAGGUGCUGCAUGGCUGUCGUCAGCUCGUGUUGUGAAAUGUUGGGUUAAGUCCCGCAACGAGCGCAACCCUUAUCCUUUGUUGCCAGCGGUCCGGCCGGGAACUCAAAGGAGACUGCCAGUGAUAAACUGGAGGAAGGUGGGGAUGACGUCAAGUCAUCAUGGCCCUUACGAGUAGGGCUACACACGUGCUACAAUGGCGCAUACAAAGAGAAGCGACCUCGCGAGAGCAAGCGGACCUCAUAAAGUGCGUCGUAGUCCGGAUUGGAGUCUGCAACUCGACUCCAUGAAGUCGGAAUCGCUAGUAAUCGUGGAUCAGAAUGCCACGGUGAAUACGUUCCCGGGCCUUGUACACACCGCCCGUCACACCAUGGGAGUGGGUUGCAAAAGAAGUAGGUAGCUUAACCUUCGGGAGGGCGCUUACCACUUUGUGAUUCAUGACUGGGGUGAAGUCGUAACAAGGUAAGCGUAGAUGA